RNAcentral lists this unclassified non-coding RNA (262 nucleotides) under Hevea brasiliensis (rubber tree). The record is from RNAcentral. Lineage: Eukaryota; Viridiplantae; Streptophyta; Magnoliopsida; Malpighiales; Euphorbiaceae.
GUGGGAAUUGGAUUUGGCAACCAGAGAUGGCACCAGCACACCUAAGAGGAUGUCUGAACAUGAUGUUUCAAUUAGCAACAACACUCGGAAUCUUCACAGCAAACAUGAUAAACUAUGGAACAAGUAAACUCCAUCCAUGGGGAUGGAGACUUUCGUUAGGCUUAGCAGCAGCACCGGCUUUCGUUAUGACAGUUGGAGGCAUGCUUCUUCCCGAGACACCGAACAGCUUAAUCGAACAAGGAAAUAAAACUAAAGGGAGACA